RNAcentral lists this ribosomal RNA (282 nucleotides) under Triticum aestivum (bread wheat). RNAcentral describes it as "partial small subunit ribosomal RNA". The record is from RNAcentral. Lineage: Eukaryota; Viridiplantae; Streptophyta; Magnoliopsida; Poales; Poaceae.
GGAUGUAGCAAAGUUGAGGUGAAUUCAGAUAAUGUGGACGUGGUUGAAGCGCUCAGAGAAGGCUAUCCAUCUUCGGUAGCCAGUGCGAUUUUUGAUGAUUGUUACUUCAUGUCCUUAGACUUUAGUCAUAUUGUUUAUGAGCAUUGUUUUAGAGAGAAUAAUAAGGUAGCACAUGAAUUAGUUAGUCUAGCUAGAUUCAAUCCUCCUAACGUUUGGAUGGAUGAGGCCCCUUCGGCUAUCAUUCCUUUAAUUGUAUCAGAUGCUACAAUUGUAGCCAAUUAA